UACCAGCACCCCGAGUGGUCGGGACGAUUAUUGGGCCUAAAGCAUCCGUAGCCGGUCCUACAAGUCUUCCGUUAAAUCCAGCUGCUCAACAGAUGGGCUGCGGAAGAUACUAUAGGGCUAGGAGGCGGGAGAGGCAAGCGGUACUCAGUGGGUAGGGGUAAAAUCCUCUGAUCCAUUGAAGACCACCAGUGGCGAAGGCGGCUUGCCAGAACGCGCUCGACGGUGAGGGAUGAAAGCUUGGGGAGCAAACCGG
This 253-nucleotide ribosomal RNA is filed under the name uncultured bacterium. RNAcentral describes it as "partial 16S ribosomal RNA". It matches the Rfam family "Archaeal small subunit ribosomal RNA", at positions 474 to 727 of the family's 1478-position model. The record is from RNAcentral.